AGGGUUAGAAACCCUUAGAUUUCAUGCCAUCAAGCGUAACAGUGUAACCCCACCAUGUCAUUUCUUUGCUACUUAUAGCAUCCCAAGUUGAUGAUCCAUUUCAUGUUUUCUCUCCUUUUUCAGAUGCAUACUAUGAUGUCCAAUGUGGGUGUCUGAACUGAAAUCUGAACUCUGAACUCUGAAGGCUGUUGUUUCCAUCAGGGUGCAUUGGUUCAGCAGAGAUCGGUGAUCUAUGUUUUCAUAUUUGGUCACGUUCUACCGGUCUUUUUCGAUGGAAAUGAAGGUAAUUGGAGGAGUUCUAUCUGUUUGAUGGAAUUCAGAACCAAAAUCCGAAUUCCACAAAAUGGCUAGAGGAAAAUUUUUAGGGCUAUUUGCAAUUCCACAACCAUAAGCAUGGCCAACUGGUAGUUCUCCAAGUAAAAGAAGUUAGGAGCUGGUUAUGAUGGUACUAAUUAUUCAGUUUCUUCUAUUGAUCCUGAAAGUUCUAUGCCAGGAUAAGAAAAGCUUGUGCAAACCCUCCAAGCCAUGAAAACAAUUAUCAUCAAGAGAAUUGAAGAUUCUAUUUUUUUUUUCUUAGGAUCUGCAGGGAAAAUUAUUCAGAUAGUGGAACAGGUUCAAGUAGCCAUUUGAAACUCAACACAACUUUAUAUCAAGAACAAAUGAACAAUGAAUGGUAGAUCCAAUCUUCAAUGGAGAAUCAUGGACCACCGAAUUGGGCUAUCUUCCCGAGCUAUCUACGACUACAUGCAUAGUAUAAUAGAUGCAAUCAUGCAAGUGUGCAACUAGUAGUUUUUUUUUUCUGAAGGAGAUGAGAUUAGGUAUAGCAUGUAAUGGUCCUGGUGUAUAAUGCCAUGGCACACUCAACUUGCAUUUAAACAAUGCUAGUCCCUGCAGACCUUG
Molecule: small RNA, 900 nt
Filed under: Oryza sativa Japonica Group (Japanese rice)
Lineage: Eukaryota; Viridiplantae; Streptophyta; Magnoliopsida; Poales; Poaceae
Description: sRNA Os03g0182900
Source: RNAcentral